Molecule: long non-coding RNA, 4370 nt
Filed under: Brachypodium distachyon (stiff brome)
Lineage: Eukaryota; Viridiplantae; Streptophyta; Magnoliopsida; Poales; Poaceae
Description: long non-coding RNA (BDIS_LNC000276)
Source: RNAcentral
CGACUGUGGUAAAAAAAAUGUUGCAAGCGGCGACUGCGGGGGAGGAACCGGCCGAGCGGCGCGCCGCCACCACCUCCGCCAGGACAGGGAGCAGCUCAGCACGGACUUCCAAAGCCCUAAUUCCACAGGUGCCCUUACCUUCCGCUCACCAUCUCUUCCUGCAUUCCCUCCCGCUGCCUCCUUCCCGGGCGCCGACCCGCGCUCGCUGCGGCCUGCCGGAUCUCCGGCCUCCGGCACCCACCGGAGCGGUUUAGGCCGUUUAAACUUUAAAGUCGCCCAAAUCACCAGGCGCAGAUAAUCCUAUGCGAAGCUUCCAGUUAAUGGUAUCUGGGGAGUGGGGAUUGAUGCUAGUACUGACUAGGUUGUGGCCGACCGCGAUUUCAAUCCACGGUUGCUGUGCGAUGGGUUGUUUAUCGGUAUGCUCCCCAUCCUGCCAUCCGCGCCGCAAGACUAAACUACAUGGUGUUACUUAAGAUCAUGAUUCAAUUACAAGGCCAAAAUUAUCGAGUCCCAGGAUCUGCAGUGAAUUGGUCCCAUUUGGACUGCUCAAUACAUUGCCAAACAAAACACACGGUUGGGUUUGAACUUUAAGGGUAUGGAGUUUGGUGCCAAGCUUUUAACGCAGCACUAGGAUCAUAUGUGCACAAGUGGUACGUAUAACAUUUCAUAUUGAAUCAAAAAGUAGGUUGGUCUUCUUCUUCAAUAGCGUUAUCUAUACCAUUUCACGUGUCUUCAGGAGUUCUCCUCAAUGACCGGUCUGGUAGGGCCCUUCAGCUCGGGUCUGUUGUAUCCAUGCUGAGCUUAUGAUAAUGUUGCCUUGGUAGUUUAUGCUAAAAACUGACGUUCUGGAACCAGGUGGAAUAGUACAGAAACGUCCACAAUCAAUUAUUUACAAACAUUUCACGAGAAAGCAAUAGCCAUUACUAGUGUCUAGUGGUAACAAAGCAGGCGAUAAAUCACAAAAUGUGACGAUAUGAUAUGAUUACACUAUCCUUUCUUUUCACUACAAAUGAAAAAUUGUUCAUUCAAAAAAGACAGUACAUAUCAUUAGGAAUCAGAUUACAAAUAUGAUAUACUUAAAAUUAUACCUUGCCAUUGUGGCUCCAAUCCCAGGAUUGUUCUUUUUCUCUUUGCAACAAUGUACAACUCCUGGUACCAAAUCUAAAAUUCACGGUGUCCCUUUUGUAUUGCAGUGAACAAUUUACCGCAGUUCUAGCUAUAGAUUCUCCUAUGACUCACUUAUGAAAUGGAGAGGGGUGUUUUUAGAAGUCCUUCCUACUACCGUCUACGGAUGAAUUGUCAGUCACAACCUAGAAGUUCUUUUGCUCUUGCCACAAGAGCAGAUAUAGGCGUGCUGCACUCCAUGAACCCUGUGUUGCCCAAGAAGAGCCGGUAGUUCUCGACCUUUGACAGUGUUUGUUCUACCAUCAAUAGAGCUUCGUUCAUCCUGCAUUUCUUGAAGCAGUCUGCAUAGCAAGAAUUGCACUCCGUCAUGUAUAUGACUUGCUCAAGUAUCACCCUCCUGAUCCCGGGACAAUGAGCACUAGGUUUCUUAUUUGCAAUCAGUGCAUGGACAAGCCUCUUCACAAAUCUCUGGUUAAUGUGACCAUCGUCUAGUUCUCGGGUAAAGUCUCCAGGAAUUACUUUACAUAUCUGCGAACUAAGGCCAACAAGGAUCUCUAGUUCUACCCCUUCUGCGUCCAUUAUUCGUUCCAACACCUGUAGAGAAAUGUAUCAUGAUCAGUAAAAAUAUACUGUACAGCUACAUGUUCCUAGUUAAAAGAUCUCGAAAAAACACUGUACAGCUAUAUAGAUCAGUGGUAAAAAGUAUAGAAGCGCAGGUCAAAAUUUGACCAACAACUUCCGUGCGACAAGUCAACAAAAUGUGCAAAAUGGCAAAUUUGGUUUUACACAUCUAUAUUGCACUUGUUGCUUGAAUUAGCAGGGUUCACCUCUCGCAAGGUAUGAGAUAUUUCCUUCAGAUCUGAUUCUUUGAGUUCCGAUUGGGCAUGCAAGCACAGAUUACGCAACAGGCUUGCCGCCACAUACAUGUAGUUGUCAUCAUGGAUCAGGAUCAUGGUUUUGAGUUCCUUCAUGAACUCUGGUUCCUUCAAUAUAAUCGAGCAGGUGUGGACACUCUCUAUUGUCAGCAUUGCGAGUGCUUGCCCAGCGACCUUUCGUAGCAAGAGACCAACAUUGUUACUCAUGGUUCCUUCUGUAUCUAUAAAUGCCUGCAUCAGCUUGGCAAUGAUCAGUCGGAUGCGACCUAUCUCCUUCCUCGUGUUCCCGUCAACAGCAAGAUUUCUGAGGAUUGCUGCCACCAACUUUCUGAAUUCUGGACUGCUCGUGCCGUCUCCCAAGAUCUCCUUGAGGUUUUUCAGUAGGAAGGGAUCGUCUGCUAUCUCAUUCCGCAGUGUUAUUCCGAUUUUGCCACCAAUGCUUGUGAGCUGUUGCAGCACCUUUAGUGAUGACAGCAGCAGGACCUUUUGUUGUGCCUCGAUGAUCAUUGUAUGAUUUCUGUAGCUCGUGAAUUCUACAAUCUUUGGGAUGAGGUCAGCUGCUUUGCUGAUUUCUACACAGUUGUCCUGAUCACAGCCUGCAAGACUGACUAUAAUUGACAUGGCCAAUGCAGGUAGAAGGUCGUGGUUUGUCAGCGGCAGCUCCUUUGGAAUUGAGCAGAAUUCUGAAAUCCGCUGCAAGCAUCUUACCAUGGAGUUCUGUGUGUUGAUGCCAACUUGCUGGGUUGGGCUGGUUUCUGUUUGCAGCAAGUUAUCAGCGUCCUGUAGUUGAUCUUGUCUUUGCAGUUGGUUACGAGAUGCAUCCGUUGAGUCAUCCUCUUCCUUUUGGUUAUCUUCUGUACUCAGAAAUGGAUCCUGUCUAUCUUCUUGCUCAUCAUCUGUAUCCAGGAGUGGAUUUCCUCUUCUCGGAGUACUGUCAGCAUCAAGAAGUGCAGCUACAAGCUGCACUGCACCAGGGAAAGCAACAACACGCAGGUUCUUCGCGAGCUCACUGGUGACCUUUGCGGCAUAUAAUCUGAUAGUUGCAUCCUUUGGACUUGUCCAAUCCAACAUUCUGAUUAUUCUGGCCGUUGUCUUCGUACAAAUGGUGAGUUUUGAAAGGAGUUGUUCCUUGGUUGGCUCCGUUUGGAGAAAGCUGUUCAUCAUCUGAAACCCAUAGACCUGAUUCUUGGAUGAGUCUGAGUUCACAGAAUCCAUCGCAAAUGUGCUGAGGCUGGUCUUCUUCGGAGCAAGCACACCAUCUUGCAUGCAUUUCUCAAAGGCAUAUGCAUAGUAUAGAUUGAUAGAUUCCAGUCCCCAGUUACCUCUGAGUCCAGCAGAACGGACAAGAGAUCUCCGUGGGAUGAAGGAAAAGAACUCGACUGCGCAAGCCACACCGUAGAGUGUUCCUUGUCCUAGCACCAUCCCGUAGAAGAUAGUAAGAGAUGCCUUGAGGUUCUUAUCGUACUCAGUGUUGCUUUUAAUCGGAUCAAAGCGCAGCACUGGCAGCGCAACACGCAGCACUGCUGCUGGAACCUGGAAAUUGCCAAAUGACACCACCGCUAAGGCACACGCUAGGAUUGUGAUGGUAAAAGCCCUCUCAAUUGGAUCAAGCAUGCACAAAUGCGUUACGAGAGCACCAACCAUGCACAAGUACAGAAUAACCUGACGCCAGAAUACAUGUCUGCUGCCUAGAGCACUGUCCACUAGUUUGACGAUCCUUGAGAACCUUAGCCUGCUUAUUGAUACACACUGCCACAAGUAGUACUGUGAACACCAAGAAUCUGACGAAUGGUUUUUGGUGUUGAUCAUGACCAUAUAUGUAUCGCUGACCGCGGAAUGUUAGAGAGGGAGCUAGCAAUAUGAUUCCAACCACAGGGCUCCAUAACGACGUGGCACGGCGUAGUGGAUUACAUAUGUGUAGUUUGAGCCCAGACACAGACAGGAACCAGCCAAUUACAAGUGUAGUCAUCGCCAGAGUCCCCAAUAUCACCAAAUUAUCAAGUACCCUCAGGAGGAUCACCGAAACAUCAAAAAGGCAUACCAUGACAAUCAGUCCAGUCCAGCCUAUAGGUCUAAAAGCACCUCUGGUAUUGAAGAACAAUUGGUAUUCCAUUCUGUUUUUGCGGGUGAACAUCCUGAUCAAAAGUAUGCAAAAGGUGUAAUCAAAUGAAAUGGACAUCAUAUAUAAGUCAGAAAGAAGUAGCCAGGAGCAAUGAAAACUUGGUUUUCCCUUUUUGUAACUCGAUCUCUCACCCGCUAUGUGCAUAUAUAUUAAUUUGCAUACCAUGCAGGUUAAUUUCCAGGAAAAUACCUUGCGGCUUCAAGGUAUACUAUCGUUGUCGCAAACCAAAAGUCAUCUUCGGAGCCGAG